This 72-nucleotide transfer RNA is filed under the name Capnocytophaga sputigena. RNAcentral describes it as "tRNA-Arg". It matches the Rfam family "tRNA". Rfam says of the family: Transfer RNA (tRNA) molecules are approximately 80 nucleotides in length. Their secondary structure includes four short double-helical elements and three loops (D, anti-codon, and T loops). RNAcentral also lists the same sequence under 5 other names. The record is from RNAcentral. Lineage: Bacteria; Pseudomonadati; Bacteroidota; Flavobacteriia; Flavobacteriales; Flavobacteriaceae.
GGUCUUGUAGUUCAACGGAUAGAAUAGAAGUUUCCUAAACUUUUGAUCCAAGUUCGAUUCUUGGCAGGACCA